UUCCUAGGCUUGCGGCAUCUUGCUCGCCCCUCUUCUGCCUCACCUCAUUCUCUUACCACGUCAGACUUCCUACCGUCAUGUGCCUACUGGCUCUCCUCAUGAGCUGGAAACAGCGCGCUUCGUGCGCUACUCCAGCCAUACUUGUUCGGAUCGGAUCGAUGGGCGGGGCACGCGUCACCGACAUGUCGGCAAGAAAGAGUAGGGACGAUCUGGUUUACUUUAACACUGAAACCUGUGGCGUUUGUAUCAGCUUGUGGCAAGAGUGCUAUAUGCCGAAGGCUUUAUCUACUCAUGACAUUUUUUCUCACCUGGUUUCCAUGAGCAAAUUCCAAAACCCGUGCCACUCAGAGGAUUAAGAUAUACUGUGCAGUAAGAACACUGCAAUUACCAGUUGCAUGAUUUUUUAUUGAACCACUGAACUGACUGACAGAGGAAUUACCCAGCACUUCUGGAAGCUGGAAGAAAAAAAUGGCUUCUACAGCUUCAAAAAUACGUUUUUGAAAACUUCCAAAAUGUCACUACAUUGGCCAAAAAUCUCCAACCGUGGUUAGUUUGGUGAGUGUUCAUUUCUCAGCUUCUGACUGAACUAUCUUCACAAUUUAGACAAUGAUCAGUUCAUAAUUGCGGCUCUGGCAACCAUUCUUCCAUGAUAUUCAUGGACAAGACAACAACAACAUCGAUUCAUAAUUAAAAGAUCUACAAUUUUAUACAUGAAAUAAAUGCUUACAAUAAAGUGUUCAUAAAUUCAUUUAAAAAAUACACAAUAACAUUAUUAUUUAAAAUGCAACA
Stegodyphus dumicola is the source of this 789-nucleotide long non-coding RNA. RefSeq lists it as uncharacterized. The record is from RefSeq and is a predicted model, not a curated record. NCBI's taxonomy places the organism in Eukaryota, Metazoa, Arthropoda, Arachnida, Araneae, Eresidae.